RNAcentral lists this long non-coding RNA (1338 nucleotides) under Pan troglodytes (chimpanzee). RNAcentral's name for it is "long non-coding RNA NONPTRT009707". Lineage: Eukaryota; Metazoa; Chordata; Mammalia; Primates; Hominidae. The record is from RNAcentral.
GAGCGGUGGCCACAGAAGGAGAGCCGGGUCCCCCUCCUGGAGAAUGCUGCGUUCCCCAGCCCCACACCGGCUUUGCCACCACACAGGCUUUUGAGGCAGGAGGCUGGUAAGACGUAGCUGUAGACCCAAAGCAACCACCAGCCCUGGGACCCUGCGGGAGAGGAGCACUUUUAGAACACGGAAAAGUGUGGUCAUCCCAUCAUUAGACAGCACACAUCCUACAUAAAUAAAAAGUCGUAUGGGGAAGGAGGUUGGGGAGGGAAUAAAAAAUUGGCACAGACAUUGAUAGACUGGUUUCCAAUUUCAAGGUAACAGAUGCACAUCAUGAGACCAGAGGAGGCAGAGACAAGGCUGGAUUUGGCUUUUCUAAGCAACAUGUGUUCCUGUGCAGGGCUGAAUGGUCGCUGAGACAGAGAUGGAAGCCAGGACAGGGGAGCCCACCGGGCCCAGAUAGGUACAGAGAGCAGAGGCUCCUGUUCUGUCCUCACCACCCAUGAGGGUGACACUGCUUGUAAAUGGUGGCUGUGCUCUCCCAGCAAGAAAAAAGCACAACUAAAUCCACACUGCACAAAGACGCAGACAGAAAGCCUUCAAGUGGCUCUGUUUUCUGCUCCCUGCCUUGCCAGGUCCACAAGCAGAGAGGAGUGUCAGGCGCAUGGCCCCACUGUCAGGCUCCCUAGUGAGCUGCGGGUUCAGCAGGAGCUGCCCACUGACACACAGGGGACACCCACUCCUCCCACCUUGGGAGAGGUUGCCAGACAGAGCCGCACUGGGUGCUGGUGUCAUCCAGGGACCCCACACACUUCCUUAAAUGUGAUCCUGCUUCCCUCUGGGCAGCUGCAUCCUCUCCUCCUGCAGGACUGUCUGGAAACUUGGCUCUCAGUUUGCUCUCCCUUCUCUUCUCUGCCUGCCCCAAGCCCCUCUUUCUAAAAAAGUGAUGCAAUAUUCAUGGGGUUAUUUCUUGAAAAUACUUGGUGGCCUCCAUGCUUCUGUUUUCUUUGAGCCAGGUGGUCAGGAGGGCUUACAAAGAAUGCCUGGGCUCCCCCGCAAGUGCCGGCAGAUGGGGUAGCAAAUGGUCCUGUGCCUCCACCUGCUCCGGGAGGGAGUCUCCCAUCUCUAGGCCUGGCCCCUUCCUAACCCUCCAUGUAUCCUGUUCUCCAGAGACUUCAGAACCCACUCCUGAGAACAGCGGAGCCAGGCGCUUAGAGGAAGACCAAAUGCUGCCAGGACACGGACUGUCCAGGGAUUACAUUCCAGCAUCUUAUUAGGUAUCUGGAUCUGUUCGGAAAAAAAUUAGAAACUAUGUAUAAAACUUAAAAAUAUUCAAGUAUCAAAAGG